RNAcentral lists this ribosomal RNA (466 nucleotides) under uncultured bacterium. RNAcentral describes it as "partial 16S ribosomal RNA". It matches the Rfam family "Bacterial small subunit ribosomal RNA", at positions 339 to 795 of the family's 1533-position model. The record is from RNAcentral.
CUACGGGUGGCUGCAGUGAGGAAUAUUGCGCAAUGGGGGGAAACCCUGACGCAGCGACGCCGCGUGAGUGAGGAAGGCCCUCGGGUCGUAAAGCUCUGUCAAGAGGAAAGAAGUGCAUAGUAGCUAAUAUCUGCUAUGUUUGACGGUACCUCUAAAGGAAGCACCGGCUAACUCCGUGCCAGCAGCCGCGGUAAUACGGAGGGUGCAAGCGUUGUUCGGAAUCACUGGGCGUAAAGGGCGCGCAGGCGGCCUGGUAAGUCAGAUGUGAAAGCCCACGGUUUAACCGUGGAAGUGCAUUUGAAACUGUCAGGCUUGAGUACCAGAGGGGAAAGUGGAAUUCCCGGUGUAGAGGUGAAAUUCGUAGAUAUCGGGAGGAAUACCGGUGGCGAAGGCGACUUUCUGGCUGAGUACUGACGCUGAGGCGCGAAAGCGUGGGGAGCAAACAGGAUUAGAUACCCUUGUAGUC